Non-coding RNA from Salmo salar (Atlantic salmon), 368 nucleotides. The record is from RefSeq and is a predicted model, not a curated record. Lineage: Eukaryota; Metazoa; Chordata; Actinopteri; Salmoniformes; Salmonidae.
AGGGGCCUAAAGGAGAGGGAAGGGGCCAAGAAGUGGAGACCUCCAACAUCCUGGUACUUCGUUCUAACUCCACCCAGAAUGGACAGGCCUACACCUGCUACGCCAAACACCCCCUGGACACACGCACCAGGACCUGCAGCCUUAGACUGGAGGCUCCAGUCUUGUUGACCCAGCGUAGUGUGGUGUCUGUGUUCGAGGGCAGUGAUGUCCAGCUCACCUGUAUCCUGCAAGCUAACUAUCCCCCGGUCAAUCAGAUCAUCUGGUUCAACAACCGCAGACAGGAAGUCAUACAGGAAGUCCAGGAAGCCCUGGCCACAACCAGGAAGUAUGUGCUGCGUCGCGCAGCUGCAUGGACCAACCUGACGGUC